RNAcentral lists this ribosomal RNA (517 nucleotides) under uncultured bacterium. RNAcentral's name for it is "bacterial SSU rRNA". It matches the Rfam family "Bacterial small subunit ribosomal RNA", at positions 28 to 531 of the family's 1533-position model. The record is from RNAcentral.
GACGAACGCUGGCGGCGUGCUUAAUACAUGCAAGUCGAGCGAGGUUACUGUUUCGGAUCCCUUCGGGGGUGAAGAAGCUUUAACCUAGCGGCGGACGGGUGAGUAACGCGUGGGUAACCUACCCCAAAGUCCGGGAUAACAGCGGGAAACCGCUGCUAAUACCGGAUGCCUUUACCUUGGGGCAUCUUGAGGUAAAGAAAGGUAACGCUUUGGGAUGGGCCCGCGUCCCAUUAGCUAGUUGGUGAGGUAACGGCUCACCAAGGCGACGAUGGGUAGCCGGCCUGAGAGGGUGGACGGCCACACUGGGACUGAGACACGGCCCAGACUCCUACGGGAGGCAGCAGUAGGGAAUAUUGCGCAAUGGACGGAAGUCUGACGCAGCGACGCCGCGUGAGCGAUGAAGGUCUUCGGAUCGUAAAGCUCUGUCCUUGGGGAAGAAGGUCUUCGGACUUGGACGGUACCCAAGAAGAAAGCCCCGGCUAACUACGUGCCAGCAGCCGCGGUAAGGCUACGUAGA